RNAcentral lists this small RNA (890 nucleotides) under Nothophoma macrospora. RNAcentral's name for it is "eukaryotic LSU rRNA". It matches the Rfam family "Eukaryotic large subunit ribosomal RNA", at positions 50 to 958 of the family's 3401-position model. The record is from RNAcentral. Lineage: Eukaryota; Fungi; Ascomycota; Dothideomycetes; Pleosporales; Didymellaceae.
GCGGAGGAAAAGAAACCAACAGGGAUUGCCCUAGUAACGGCGAGUGAAGCGGCAACAGCUCAAAUUUGAAAUCUGGCGUCUUCGGCGUCCGAGUUGUAAUUUGCAGAGGGCGCUUUGGCAUUGGCAGCGGUCCAAGUUCCUUGGAACAGGACGUCACAGAGGGUGAGAAUCCCGUACGUGGUCGCUAGCCUUUACCGUGUAAAGCCCCUUCGACGAGUCGAGUUGUUUGGGAAUGCAGCUCUAAAUGGGAGGUAAAUUUCUUCUAAAGCUAAAUACUGGCCAGAGACCGAUAGCGCACAAGUAGAGUGAUCGAAAGAUGAAAAGCACUUUGGAAAGAGAGUUAAAAAGCACGUGAAAUUGUUGAAAGGGAAGCGCUUGCAGCCAGACUUGCCUGUAGUUGCUCAUCCGGGUUUCUACCCGGUGCACUCUUCUAUAGGCAGGCCAGCAUCAGUUUGGGCGGUUGGAUAAAGGUCUCUGUCAUGUACCUCCUCUGGGGGAGAACUUAUAGGGGAGACGACAUGCAACCAGCCUGGACUGAGGUCCGCGCAUCUGCUAGGAUGCUGGCGUAAUGGCUGUAAGCGGCCCGUCUUGAAACACGGACCAAGGAGUCUAACAUCUAUGCGAGUGUUUGGGUGUCAAGCCCGAGCGCGUAAUGAAAGUGAACGGAGGUGGGAACCUUUCGGGGUGCACCAUCGACCGAUCCUGAUGUCUUCGGAUGGAUUUGAGUAAGAGCAUAGCUGUUGGGACCCGAAAGAUGGUGAACUAUGCUUGAAUAGGGUGAAGCCAGAGGAAACUCUGGUGGAGGCUCGCAGCGGUUCUGACGUGCAAAUCGAUCGUCAAAUUUGGGCAUAGGGGCGAAAGACUAAUCGAACUAUCUAGUAGCUGGUUCU